This 451-nucleotide ribosomal RNA is filed under the name uncultured bacterium. Its description in RNAcentral is "partial 16S ribosomal RNA". It matches the Rfam family "Bacterial small subunit ribosomal RNA", at positions 29 to 523 of the family's 1533-position model. The record is from RNAcentral.
AACGAACGCUGGCGGCUGGCUUAACACAUGCAAGUCGAACGGGUGUAGCAAUACAUCAGUGGCAGACGGGUGAGUAACACGUGGGAACCUUCCUAGAGGUACGGAACAACUCAGGGAAACUUGAGCUAAUACCGUAUACGCUCUUGCGAGGAAAGAUUUAUCGCCUUUAGACGGGCCCGCGUAGGAUUAGGUAGUUGGUGAGGUAACGGCCCACCAAGCCUACGAUCCUUAGCUGAUCUGAGAGGAUGAUCAGCCACACUGGAACUGAGACACGGUCCAGACUCCUACGGGAGGCAGCAGUGGGGAAUCUUGGACAAUGGGCGCAAGCCUGAUCCAGCCAUGCCGCGUGAGUGAAGAAGGCCUUCGGGUUGUAAAGCUCUUUUGUCAGGGACGAUAAUGACGGUACCUGAAGAAUAAGCCCCGGCAAACUUCGUGCCAGCCGCCGCGGUAA